RNAcentral lists this small RNA (148 nucleotides) under Macaca fascicularis (crab-eating macaque). Its description in RNAcentral is "Metazoan signal recognition particle RNA (ENSMFAG00000065628.1)". The record is from Rfam by way of RNAcentral. Lineage: Eukaryota; Metazoa; Chordata; Mammalia; Primates; Cercopithecidae.
GCUGGGUGUGGUGGUGCAUGCCUGUAAUCCCAGCUACUCAGGAGGCUGAGGCAGGAGAAUCACUUGAACCCAGGAGGUGGAAGUUGCAGUGAGCUGAGAUCACACCACUGCACUCCAGCCUGGGUGACAGAGCGAGACUCUGUCUCAG